This 306-nucleotide ribosomal RNA is filed under the name Oulimnius rivularis. Its description in RNAcentral is "partial small subunit ribosomal RNA". Lineage: Eukaryota; Metazoa; Arthropoda; Insecta; Coleoptera; Elmidae. The record is from RNAcentral.
AUUAGUAUUAGUUAUUUUCUUCAAAUUUAAAGAUUUUGGCGGUAUUUUAGUCUAUUCAGAGGAACCUGUUCUGUAAUUGAUAUUCCACGAUUUACUUUACUUGAUUAGUUUGUAUAUCGUCGUUAUUUUGAAUAUUUUAUAAGAAAAUUAAUGUUCAAUUUUUUUGAUAAGAACAUAAGUCAGAUCAAGGUGCAGCUUAUAUUCAAGAAGAAAUGGGUUACAAUAAAUUUAUUUAAAUGGUUUGGUAAAUGAAAUUUUAUCAAUAAAGUGGGAAAGUAAUAUUUGAAAUUAGAUAAAUAGGAUAAG